GGUUUUUGGGGAUAGUUAAGCCCAGGCCUUAAGACAGUUUGAUAUUCAGUUUUGUUAUUUAGGUCUGGGUUAGGGAUACCGCCAGAGAGCAUCCAAACAUUUCUGUGGUUGGGAAGGCUAGUUAUCUGUGAGCAUUCCAGAUGAAAUAGCCUAUAAUGGGUUAUCACCUUUUGAUCUUACCUCAGAGAAGAUUGAAUUGGAUCUACCUAUCUGAUUUAGCAGAAUUAAACUGGAUUUGGAUGGAAGGGUAAUCAGCUAUUUAAUUUGCCAGUUGUUAGUUAGCAUUUCUUCUUGCUGUAUCUCAAGGAUUUACUUUGAAUAUUCUGUAUUUUCUCUUUCCUGCCCAUGAUGGGUUUUCCUUUUAAAAUGCUCAGCACAGGCUGGGUGUGGUGGCUCACUGAUCUGCCAGCCUUGGCUUCCCAAAGUGCUAGGAUUACAGGCAUGAGCCACUGCACUCAGCUAGAAGAAUUCUGAUAGGCUCUGAGCAUCCAUUGUUCCAGGUAUAACAAUUCUGACUUUUUCAGAUACUCUGAUGCUUUUAUGGUAUCCUGCUUGCUGCUGUCUUCUUUUGAAAUUGGAGUUCAAUCACUCUGCUUUUCUUUCUUAAUACUUGUCUGUUUCCUAGAUUUUACAUGCUUUUCCAUGAACACUAAUUUCCUGUAUGAAGAGGGAAUAUACAAAUGAUAGGAUGCUUUCCUGUAACUGAGAUGGCAGGGGGAAGGAGAGGACAGCAACUCAUACAGAAGGAAAUCAGCUUUUGUUGAGCACCCAGAAUUUACCAGAUCAGAUAGAGAGGACAGGUGUAGAAGAAAAUGAGCAUGUAUAAAGUGGAAUAGUGGGACAAUAAAGUACAAAUAUGGAAAAUUAAGUGGAAGGCUUUUAAUGCUGUUAGGGAACUUGGAUUGGGUUAGUAAGUUAUGAGACUGACAUUUUUGAUCCUUGAAAUGUCAUAAUCAGAGGUGAAUUAUAGGUUAUAUAAUCCAAUAGUUUAGAUAAUUAAUUAAAUUGGGAAAUAAGUCAUAGGACCAAUAAAGAAGUGUUUUGAGAGUUUCUCUUAAGGAAUGAAGACCUAACGAGAAUAGCGGCACCGCAGUAGAAGUGUUGCUAAAGUACAUUGGACAGAAAUAAGCAAUUGGAUAUUGGGAAAGAAAGGGAUGAAUAAAAGGUGACAUGAGAUGUUAAGCCUGGGUGAUGGAGAGAAUGUGAUCUCAGCAGGUUUGUGGGUGGAGGUAAAAAUAAGUUUUGUUCUAGAUCUCUUGCUUUUGAGGUGCUGGUAGGAUAUUCCUGUGGAGAUGUGUAGUAGAAUCCGAAGUGUGAAACUGGAACUUGGAGGGAGAGAUCAAGGCUGGAAAUAAAACAUGUAUGAGUAAGGAGAGUUAAAAAUAAAGAGAAAAAGAGAGCAUUUGUUAGCUGGAGUAAAAGGAAGGGUACAGGAAAAGCAUCAUAGAGAAGAGAGAAUUUGAUCUGACUUUAAAAGAUGCCGAGUCGGUAUAUGGCAUUCUGUUCACGAGCUUUCCUUGUUGAGGGGACAUCACAUUUACUAACUUGAGAGAUAAUACAUGGGAAGUGUUGGACAAAGGAUACUGCAUCCAGAAUGACCUUUCUAAACUACAAAAUCAUUUCCCCUCUUUCCUGCUUAACCCUCCCUCAGUGGCUUCUUAUCUUUCUUCAGAUAAAGGACUGACUCCUAAAUGUCUUCAUCAUCACCAAUUUGAACACACAUUGUGUCUCACACUCCUCCUCGUUCCUCACUCUUCUUCCCCAAGACUGGACAGAAUGUGAAGAAGAUAUGAUUUCCACCAGAUGGAGUACUCUUUAUACUUUUUUGGGGUCCUUUAUGGUUACUUUUUGUGGCCAUGGUCAGGUUCUUAUCCAUAAAAUAAUUAUUGAUAACUUCCUAAUGUAAAAUGAAAAAUAAUGAUAAAUCACAUACUUCCCUCAUUUUUACAGAAUUCCUUGCUUGCCUUAUCUCUUCAAGUGUUGACUGCAAGGUUCCUGUACACUUACUUGAGUUGGCCACUCCGGUCACUAUACCCUGAUCUCUGACACUUGGCCGUGGUAGCCUGGAGCAGCAUUGUUACUGGGCAUUGCUGUGAUUGGGUUACCCAGCUGUGCUGAUGUGGAAACCUCAGGGCUAUUUAUUGAUACUUGGUUUCCUAAAGGAAAGUUGAGGGAAUGUAUUUUAUGAGAGGGCUUUAUUUACACGAUUAAAGAGGUUUAUAAAAUGUGGAGAUGAAUAUAGGUGAAACAGAGAAAGAAUGCUGGUAUAGGAGGUGUUUUCGGCUGGGUUUGGUGGCUCAUACCCGUAAUCCCAGCACUUUGGGAGGCUGAGGCGGGUGGAUCACUUGAGUCCAGCCUGGGCGGCGUAGUGAGACCCAUCUCUACAAAAACUACAAAAAUUAGCUGGGCAUUGUGUUGCAUGCUUGUAGUCCUGGCUACUCAGGAGGCUGAGGUGAGAGGAUUGCUUGAGCCCAGGAAGCAGAGGUUGCAGUGAGCCAAGAUCGUGCCACUGCACUCCAGACUGGGCAAUAGAGUGAGACCCUAUCUCAGAAAACAAACAAAAAUCCCCAAAAAACCAGGAAGUGUUUUCUUAGGGUCUAGUUCCCAGGCGAAUGGUAUAUCCUGAUUCUAGGUUUAUAAAAAUAGUAUAUUAUUCAUAACAUUUGUCUAAAGUGACACAUUUACAUACAGUAUAUAGUAUUGAGUAAUUUCCAACUCUUUAAAAAUAAUGGAGACCCUUUCAUGUAGUAGUAACUAUGUUUUUAGUAUCUGUUGACUGAGAAAAUACGUAACAGCAAAAGCUACUAUAAAACUUUGAAAUAAGUUCUUGUAAAUGUAAAAAAAAUUCUCAUAUAUUUGGAAAGUAUACAUGUGGAAAUUAUGACUUAUAGAGUCUAUGGACACUUGAUUUCUUGCUUUAUGGAUACUCUCAGGAAGUUCUGGUCUCAACUUUGAGUAUCUCAUUGUCCUCUUACUUUAGAAUGUGGGGUAUGGGGGAAAACUUCUAUUUGAAAAUUUGAGCCAUAGCGGAAAUUUUGGAAUGACAGGGAAACACCUUCUCAGAAUCCUCUUACAAUAAAAUUUAUAUAUGUUAUGCCAGACAAUGUACUUUAUACUAAGACUGGACUUUUAAAUAGUCUCAUGGAUUAGAAGUCAGAUACAAUAAAUAAAUACUUUUUAAAAAUUAUAUUUUUAGGUAUAUGAGCAUUGUUGUUGGGACUACAGUGCUAUUUUAAAGUGAAAUUUAGUUGAUUUGCAUGUGAGUAUACACCUACAGGUCUCUGUUAUAGCCGUGACAUGUCUUCUGUUACUAUAAAUUACAUAACAAAUCCUUAUGGUUUCUUGGGUCACUUAUUUUAUUUAAAGACAAAAACAUCUUUCAGUACAUAUGUAAGACUUAAGGCAUUAUUGAAAAUAAGCCUGUGCUACAUGGUAGAAUCUAUUAAAAAAAAAAAAA
RNAcentral lists this long non-coding RNA (3457 nucleotides) under Homo sapiens (human). Its description in RNAcentral is "novel transcript". Lineage: Eukaryota; Metazoa; Chordata; Mammalia; Primates; Hominidae. The record is from RNAcentral.